Molecule: transfer RNA, 76 nt
Filed under: Adonisia turfae CCMR0082
Lineage: Bacteria; Bacillati; Cyanobacteriota
Description: tRNA-Val
Rfam family: tRNA
About the family: Transfer RNA (tRNA) molecules are approximately 80 nucleotides in length. Their secondary structure includes four short double-helical elements and three loops (D, anti-codon, and T loops). Further hydrogen bonds mediate the characteristic L-shaped molecular structure. tRNAs have two regions of fundamental functional importance: the anti-codon, which is responsible for specific mRNA codon recognition, and the 3' end, to which the tRNAs corresponding amino acid is attached (by aminoacyl-tRNA synthetases). tRNAs cope with the degeneracy of the genetic code in two manners: having more than one tRNA (with a specific anti-codon) for a particular amino acid; and 'wobble' base-pairing, i.e. permitting non-standard base-pairing at the 3rd anti-codon position.
Source: RNAcentral
GGACGGUUAGCUCAGUUGGUAGAGCGCCUGCCUUACAAGCAGGAUGUCACUGGUUCGAGCCCAGUACCGUCCAUCA